CUAGGGAAGAGUUUGCUGAUGGGUUAGAGAUGGGUUGGCUGGAAAUGUUUUAAAAUGUGUUUGAUUUUCUGGAAUUGCCUUCCACAGACCAAUUUCUUCUUCAUGGCAUCUCAUGUGAGAAUUACUCAUUAGAGUCACAACAUGAUUCCCUGAAUGGCUGACUCAUGAAUCCUUCUCAUGUCUCAAAUUGCCAUGUAUACAGCAGAUCAGAUUUUGCUGAUGUGAUUGACUGCACCUGAAGUUACAGCUACUUGGCCCAUUACAAGAAGAAAUGAAUCGACUCAAUUAAAUUACAGAGAUGUUAUUCCCAAGCUACUGACUUUGCUCAAGGGACGAGCAACAGAAGAGGAAAAUGCAAGGAAUGUCUCAAAAAAUUCUCAGAAUCUACAGUUUAUCUGGCUGCAUUUCACAAGAAUCUUCACUGCUACUGGAUUUAGAGGAGAUUUUGAAGGACAGAUUUAAAGAAAAGAAAGCAAGCUGCAAACAAAGACCAUGACAGCCUUUCCUUCUGAUGUCUGUACAACAUAUUGGUGGAACUGUCAUUUGAUGCUACAGUAGUAAAUAACUGAUUUUGCCGUAUGCUUAGAAGAUUUCAAAG
Molecule: long non-coding RNA, 598 nt
Filed under: Coturnix japonica (Japanese quail)
Lineage: Eukaryota; Metazoa; Chordata; Aves; Galliformes; Phasianidae
Description: lncRNA (ENSCJPG00005011639.1)
Source: RNAcentral